This 1728-nucleotide ribosomal RNA is filed under the name Campylobacter coli. RNAcentral describes it as "partial 23S ribosomal RNA". It matches the Rfam family "Bacterial large subunit ribosomal RNA", at positions 1216 to 2925 of the family's 2925-position model. Lineage: Bacteria; Pseudomonadati; Campylobacterota; Epsilonproteobacteria; Campylobacterales; Campylobacteraceae. The record is from RNAcentral.
UUUUAUCAAGUGGUAGGAGAGCGUUCUAUUUGCGCCGAAGGUAUACCGGUAAGGAGUGCUGGAGCGAAUAGAAGUGAGCAUGCAGGCAUGAGUAGCGAUAAUUAAUGUGAGAAUCAUUAACGCCGUAAACCCAAGGUUUCCUACGCGAUGCUCGUCAUCGUAGGGUUAGUCGGGUCCUAAGUCGAGUCCGAAAGGGGUAGACGAUGGCAAAUUGGUUAAUAUUCCAAUACCAACAUUAGUGUGCGAUGGAAGGACGCUUAGGGCUAAGGGGGCUAGCGGAUGGAAGUGCUAGUCUAAGGUCGUAGGAGGUUAUACAGGCAAAUCCGUAUAACAAUACUCCGAGAACUGAAAGGCUUUUUGAAGUCUUCGGAUGGAUAGAAGAACCCCUGAUGCCGUCGAGCCAAGAAAAGUUUCUAAGUUUAGCUAAUGUUGCCCGUACCGUAAACCGACACAGGUGGGUGGGAUGAGUAUUCUAAGGCGCGUGGAAGAACUCUCUUUAAGGAACUCUGCAAAAUAGCACCGUAUCUUCGGUAUAAGGUGUGGUUCGCUUCGUAUUAGGAUUUACUCCGAAAGCGAAGAAACUUACAACAAAGAGUCCCUCCCGACUGUUUACCAAAAACACAGCACUCUGCUAACUCGUAAGAGGAUGUAUAGGGUGUGACGCCUGCCCGGUGCUCGAAGGUUAAUUGAUGGGGUUAGCAUUAGCGAAGCUCUUGAUCGAAGCCCGAGUAAACGGCGGCCGUAACUAUAACGGUCCUAAGGUAGCGAAAUUCCUUGUCGGUUAAAUACCGACCUGCAUGAAUGGCGUAACGAGAUGGGAGCUGUCUCAAAGAGGGAUCCAGUGAAAUUGUAGUGGAGGUGAAAAUUCCUCCUACCCGCGGCAAGACGGAGAGACCCCGUGGACCUUUACUACAGCUUGACACUGCUAUUUGGAUAAGAAUGUGCAGGAUAGGUGGGAGGCUUUGAGUAUAUGACGCCAGUUGUAUAUGAGCCAUUGUUGAGAUACCACUCUUUCUUAUUUGGGUAGCUAACCAGCUUGAGUUAUCCUCAAGUGGGACAAUGUCUGGUGGGUAGUUUGACUGGGGCGGUCGCCUCCCAAAUAAUAACGGAGGCUUACAAAGGUUGGCUCAGAACGGUUGGAAAUCGUUCGUAGAGUAUAAAGGUAUAAGCCAGCUUAACUGCAAGACAUACAAGUCAAGCAGAGACGAAAGUCGGUCUUAGUGAUCCGGUGGUUCUGUGUGGAAGGGCCAUCGCUCAAAGGAUAAAAGGUACCCCGGGGAUAACAGGCUGAUCUCCCCCAAGAGCUCACAUCGACGGGGAGGUUUGGCACCUCGAUGUCGGCUCAUCGCAUCCUGGGGCUGGAGCAGGUCCCAAGGGUAUGGCUGUUCGCCAUUUAAAGCGGUACGCGAGCUGGGUUCAGAACGUCGUGAGACAGUUCGGUCCCUAUCUGCCGUGGGCGUAAGAAGAUUGAAGAGAUUUGACCCUAGUACGAGAGGACCGGGUUGAACAAACCACUGGUGUAGCUGUUGUUCUGCCAAGAGCAUCGCAGCGUAGCUAAGUUUGGAAAGGAUAAACGCUGAAAGCAUCUAAGCGUGAAGCCAACUCUAAGAUGAAUCUUCUCUAAGCUCUCUAGAAGACUACUAGUUUGAUAGGCUGGGUGUGUAAUGGAUGAAAGUCCUUUAGCUGACCAGUACUAAUAGAGCGUUUGGCUUAUCUUUAAUAAAGCAU